This is a non-coding RNA of Pelobates cultripes (western spadefoot toad), 544 nucleotides long. The record is from the annotation of a GenBank genome assembly. NCBI's taxonomy places the organism in Eukaryota, Metazoa, Chordata, Amphibia, Anura, Pelobatidae.
GACCCAUAGGUUUAAGAGGCGGUGACCGUGGCGGUGGAGAAGGAGGAUGAGGUAGCCAACACUGUUUUUAUAUAUGUGUUUUUUUUUAUUGGGGUAGCCCCCAAAAUAUUGGGACAUAUAAAAAAAGACAACUCUGGUCCGCAGAGUAGCUGUUGACAUUAUAGUUGCGCAGGAACUUUGUUGACUCUAGAGUACCUUGGGCAAAUCGCACAUCCACGUGGCGGUGACUUUGCAUGCGGAUGUCAUUCAUAUCAACUUUCUAUGUCAGUUUCUGCGCCUACCAUGGUGACCAUGGGUAACGGGGAAUCAGGGUUCCCUUCCGUACAGGGAUCCUCAGAAAUGGCUACCACAUGCAAGGAAGGCAGCAGAUGCGCAAAUGACCCAUUCCCGACGCAGGUAGGUAUUGACGACAAAUAACAAUAUAGGACUCUUUAGAGGCCCUGUAAUUGUAAUGAGUCCACUUGAAAUCCUUUAACUCUGAUCAAUUGGAGGGAAGUCUGGUGCAGAGCCACUGACGCAUGCGUGCUGCAGCUGAAACUCCACU